This is a small nucleolar RNA of Ornithorhynchus anatinus (platypus), 136 nucleotides long. Lineage: Eukaryota; Metazoa; Chordata; Mammalia; Monotremata; Ornithorhynchidae. The record is from RefSeq and is a predicted model, not a curated record.
GGCCUCUCAGGGCUGCGAUUGGAGUUUCCAGUAUUUUACCAAUCUCAACUACAGGAGGGAGAGUCAAGCAGAGGCCGACCCAUUCCAUUCCUAGCUUGGCCAGUGGCUAGAGAGUGGAAGACAAUCUGCCACAAGU